CAGUCGCCGCGGGAAUACGUAGGUGGCAAGCGUUGUCCGGAAUUAUUGGGCGUAAGGCGCGCGCAGGUGGUUUAAUAAGUCUGGAGUUAAAGGCUGUGGCUUAACCAUAGUACGCUUUGGAAACUGUUAGACUUGAGUGCAGAAGGGGAGAGUGGAAUUCCAUGUGUAGCGGUGAAAUGCGUAGAUAUAUGGAGGAACACCGGUGGCGAAAGCGGCUCUCUGGUCUGUCACUGACGCUGAGGCUCGAAAGCGUGGGUAGCGAACAGGAUUAGAUACCCCCGUAGUCCCUGUCUCUUAUACC
This 301-nucleotide ribosomal RNA is filed under the name uncultured bacterium. RNAcentral describes it as "partial 16S ribosomal RNA". It matches the Rfam family "Bacterial small subunit ribosomal RNA", at positions 509 to 808 of the family's 1533-position model. The record is from RNAcentral.